This 2998-nucleotide long non-coding RNA is filed under the name Amphibalanus amphitrite. RNAcentral describes it as "uncharacterized LOC122393283". Lineage: Eukaryota; Metazoa; Arthropoda; Thecostraca; Balanomorpha; Balanidae. The record is from RNAcentral.
AGUUGCUGGAGCAGCAACCCGACUUACAGCUUAAUGACUUUGGAAGGUAGUCGCAGCAGUCGAUCGGAAAGGUAUGAUUCACAUUCAAGGUUAGAUGGUUAGAUGAUUAAUUGGCUGCUUGUUUUAUUGCACAGGUGUUGCAGAAGCAGCAAACCCGACCAACACCAUAAUUACUUUAGGAAUUGUACUUCAGGAAUUGACCAGUGUCGGAUAAUUGACCACAGUGUCGAUAAGACAGGUGUCUUAGGAAGAUGACUCGGUUGCUUUGCUUCGUUUGCACAGAUGUUGCAGAAGCAGUGAAACCGAUCGACGUUAACUUGUUUCAGAAGAUGACCGCAGCGUCGAUAAGAAAGGUGACUUGUUUGCUGUGCUUCGUUGCACAGAUGUUGCAAAAACAGCAAAUCCGACAAACAGUUGAAAUGUGAGUAGACUUCAGGUGACUGCAGAGGGAAAGAUAGUGUUUAAGACGGAAAGUGGUUUUCGUCUCGUUUUAUCUCCAUUCCAUGGCAGGAGGUAGUACGACUCGAAUCCUUGCUUAGCUGCACUUUGCAAGUCAUAGCAAGUGCAAAACUCUUCAGGAGUCCAUCCCGUGGCUCAUCUCCAGAGUAGGAAGAUAGACAUAAAUGCUUCAUGUCCUGCUUCAUCGUGAAUUACUGCGUGGGUCUUGCAGUUGAGAUAACAAGGCAAAGAAAAAUAGUAAUUCGGCCGUCAGCAGUUACCAUGUGAGCUGACUGAAGCCGAAAGGUUUCGAUUUCAGCGCAGGUACGAGGCACGAGACGUCCCGAGGGAAGGUCUUGCCGGUAAAGCUAAACCGAGCAGAACCGCAACGGUAAGGGACAAUGCCAAUGUAACGAAAUAUUGGAUUGAUUUCGUUGUUUCGACUUUCGAGUAACACUUAGGUUAGCAACGGUAAGGGACAAUGCAACAUUAACGAAAUAUUUGCUUGAUUUCGUUGUCUCGACUUUCGAGUAAGACUUAGGUUAAUGUUUUUAUAGCAAGAUUCUGGAGUAGCAUCAACUGUGCAAACUGACCACACCUUUUCCUGUGGAACGAUUUGAAUAUGAACCCGAAAGCCUAUGCAGUUAGAACCUGCAAUCCUAUGUGAACUCGUUCAGCACUCAUGUGAAUCAUUUGGCAAUCCCAAAGCUGAACGAAGAGUCAACGUCAUAUUGAAUGGAAGGUGUACCAGUUACUGUGGUUGACUUUCGUUGUAUUGUCUGCAACAGACACCGCGCUGCCGAGUGGAGGUCCUGAUGGAUUUAUCCAACCCUGCAUGGAGCGCCACCAUCUCGUGAGUGACCAGCGACGGUGAUGUCGGGUCACGAACAAAAGUAAGAACAACCCUUGAGAUCAAAAGAUCAAAGCCAACGGGCAUGUGCUCACUUGUUAAAGUCAAGCAGACGAGUUUGCUACAAUCUGCUUCAGCGUAUGCAUGAAGGUCGUGAUAAGGGUCAGUUGGUGCUCGAGGUAUAAGUUGUGGUGAAGCAACAAUCUUGUGCAUUGCCUUGAAACUAGAUCCAGCGACAUGGAUCUGUGCAGACCAAAAGAUGCGCGGGCAUAGAACCGGCAUAGACAAUAGGACAAACUGCUCGUGUGCUGCGAUGCUUGCAUCGUCUGGUCCCUCCCAAUGUCCUCAGGUCAUUGGAGCCAGCAGCAGAGUGCGUCCUACACAGGUAUCUGAGAUACCAAAAGGUCUACAAGCACCACCAAUCUCUCGGCAUGUCAGAUUGACUUCAGCCUCAACACCUCACCCGAGCCCUUAGGACCAACAUCUCGAUGCUGAGUGCUGCCAGAGGUCGGAAACGCAUCCUUCUGUUCUAACGGAGGCAAACGAUCACUCGCCCGUCGGUUGUAACUUAUCUCCUCCAGGUGUGGCGGCCAUAAAGCAGACGGAUGGACCCAUCACGUUAUCACUCGUGAGUUUUUAAAGUCGAAGCCCGUAUUGGGAAUCGUUAACAAGCGUACCCUUUACAUUGCACGAAUGACGACAUGCUCCUUUGUAAAUCGUUUCCGGUAAACCACGAAAUUCCCAUCCCAGAAACAGUCCACAGGUCAGUAGCAAGGAGAUGUGGUUCCCAGAAUAAUAUAAAUGUAAAGGUGCAGUGAUUGCCUUUUUCCAAGAUUUUGUGAAGACGCCGCAUUUGCCAUUGUCUACAAGUCAAACUCGGUUUGACCCAGUCAGACUGUAAGUCUAUUAUUACGUACGUAUACCCGUUCACCCCCUAAGGUUACAGUUCUUCGUUCGCCAUAAAAAUGGGAGGGAUGUGAGAAAUAUCGUUUCCGUCUGCUCUGAGCGGCAUCGGCGACUCUCAUUAUUUCCAGCGACGGGAAGCGCCCCGUCAGUCGGCCCGGAGGCCAAAGCCGACCAACCGGCGGCGGCUCGCGCGGUUCCUAUCUCGCUGACCUCCACCGUUUGCACCACAACAAAAACACUCGACGAGGGUUAAGCACGUAGUGGUAGACAGGGAACGUGAGAACCUGAAUGUAGGAUGAUCAGUUAACAACUGAUAAUGAGCUGACGCCUUUGUGCAAGACCGGUAAGACCGGUGUAAAAACGCACACACCAAGGGCAAACGACUGUCAGAGAGGUAUAAAACGGGCGCCAGACGCAGCAGCGACUCACUCACACAGUCCACACCACACUCAACAACAUCCACUCUCCAACACUCCACUCAACAUGCACAACCUGCCCGCCAUCAUGACGCUGACCAGGGAGCCGAUUGGCUCGGCUUGGCGGCAGCAGGCUGUUCUUUCGGCACUCUUCCGGCCUCUACAAUAUCGGCAUACUCGAGUGCGAUAGCAACUCGAGUGGGACUGAUUUUCGGUCUUCUUUCGACACUCUUCCGUCUUCUUCGAUAUCAGCCUGUGCUAAUGCAGCGGCUAUUCGUGCAGGACUGAUUUUCGGCCUUGUCUCGUUUAAUGACUCGAUCGCUUCCUUUUGACAUUUUGGAUUCGACCUCAUCUUUUGGCUCAUUUCAAUAUAUCUACUUUUUGUUCA